UACGGAGGGGGCUAGCGUUGUUCGGAAUCACUGGGCGUAAAGCGCACGUAGGCGGACCAUUAAGUCGGGGGUGAAAUCCCGGGGCUCAACCCCGGAACUGCCUUCGAUACUGGCGGUCUGGAGGUCGAGAGAGGCGAGUGGAAUUCCGAGUGUAGAGGUGAAAUUCGUAGAUAUUCGGAGGAACACCAGUGGCGAAGGCGGCUCGCUGGCUCGAUACUGACGCUGAGGUGCGAAAGCGUGGGGAGCAAACAGG
Molecule: ribosomal RNA, 253 nt
Filed under: uncultured bacterium
Lineage: Bacteria
Description: partial 16S ribosomal RNA
Rfam family: Bacterial small subunit ribosomal RNA
Source: RNAcentral